This is a long non-coding RNA of Chelonoidis abingdonii (Abingdon island giant tortoise), 221 nucleotides long. RefSeq lists it as uncharacterized. The record is from RefSeq and is a predicted model, not a curated record. NCBI's taxonomy places the organism in Eukaryota, Metazoa, Chordata, Testudines, Testudinidae.
CAGCACCAUUUCCAGCAUGUUGAAACAGCAUCAACAGCUUUAACAUAGAACCUCCUGUAGAAGUGAAGUGAGAGAGGGAGCCAGGAUCAGGAACUUGAGGACCAUGCCACCAGGGGAUCAGGAACCACUCGUUGACUGGAACAGGUGCUGUCUUAAAUCAGGAUGCUGCACUAUCUGCCUACACACCAAAAUGUUGACACCUCGAUGGAUUGGUUCAAUAU